This 276-nucleotide unclassified non-coding RNA is filed under the name uncultured fungus. RNAcentral's name for it is "partial contains 5.8S ribosomal RNA, internal transcribed spacer 2, and large subunit ribosomal RNA". The stretch from base 1 to 52 matches the Rfam family "5.8S ribosomal RNA", at positions 103 to 154 of the family's 154-position model. The record is from RNAcentral. Lineage: Eukaryota; Fungi.
AACGCACCUUGCGCUCCAUGGUAUUCCGUGGAGCAUGCCUGUUUGAGUGUCACGUGAACACCUCACCCUCGCGAUGUCAAAGUCGCCCGUGGUGGAUUUGGACCGUGCCGUAGUCGGCUCGUCCUGAAAUGCAUUAGCUGCGCGUCUGGGAUGACGGCCGUGGUGUGAUAACAUCUGCGCCUCGACCUGUCCCGCCGCGCGUGGCUCACAACCGUCCGCAAGGACAACACCUUAAUGCUUGGCCUCAAAUCAGGUAGGACUACCCGCUGAACUUAA